GUGCGAUCAUAACAGCACUAAUGCACCGGAUCCCAUCAGAACUCCGCAGUAAAGCGUGCUUGGGCGAGAGUUGUACUAGGAUGGGUGACCUCCUUGGUAGUCCUCGUCUUGCACCCCUUUUUUGUUCCUUUUAAUUCUUUGUUUUUUUUUUGGGUCUUUUCAUUUGAAAAACAAGGCAUCUUCCGAACGACACCAUUUCUAGACCGUGUGGAACCAUGCCUCCUACAGAAACUUUUCGGAAAGCCCCAAGUCUGCUCUAUGGCGUGUCCAAGGCUCUAAAGACUAUAGGUGCGGUAUACAAGGCCAAAAUUUCGAGUUUUAGACCCUCUUCUGGGCCCUUUUCUAAAACAUAAGCCCCAAUUUAGGUGUCGUCAAAUGUGGUGUCCUAACUUAUAUAUCUUGGCAUGAAUGCUGGUCGCGGCUGGGCAGGAAAAGACAUAUAAACAGUGCAACACACCCGAAGAGAUUUCAUUGCGGACUCAAAGCCAAAGGAUAUAUGCUAUUGCGAUACAUAUACUAACAGGUGCGAUCAUACCAGCACUAAUGCACCGGAUCCCAUCAGAACUCCGCAGUUAAGCGUGCUUGGGCGAGAGUAGUACUAGGAUGGGUGACCUCCUGGGCAGUCCUCGUGUUGCACCAUUUUUUUGCUCCUCUUGAUUUUUUAUUUUUUUUGGGUCUUUUCAUUUGAAAAACAAGGCAUCUUCCGAACGACGCCAUUUCUAGACCGUGUGGAACCAUGCCUCCUACAGCAACUUUUCAGAAAGCCCCAAGAGUGCUCUCGGGCGUGCCCAAGGGUCUAAAGAGCAUGGGUGCUGUUACAAGGCCAAAAUUUUGAGUUUUAGACCCUCUUCCGGGCCAUUUUCUAAAACAUAAGCCCCGGUUUAAGUGUCGUCAAACGUUGUGUCCUAACUUAUAUAUCUUGCAACGAAUGCUCGUCGCAGGUGGGCGGGAAAACCAUUUAAAGAGUGCAACACACGUGAAGAGAUUUCAUUGCGGUCUCAAAGCCAAAGGAUAUAUGCUAUUGCGAUACAUAUACUAACGGGUGCGAUCAUAACAGCACUAAUGCACCGGAUCCCAUCAGAACUCCGCAGUAAGCGUGCUUGGGCGAGAGUUGUACUAGGAUGGGUGACCUCCUUGGUAGUCCUCGUCUUGCACCCCUUUUUGUUCCUUUCGAUUGUUUUUGUUUUUUUGGGUCUUUUCAUUUGAAAAACAAGGCAUCUUCCGAACGACGCCUUUUCUAGACCGUGUGGAACCAUGCCUCCUACAGAAACUUUUCGGAAGCCCCAAGUGUGCUCUCUGGCGUGUCCAAGGGUUUAAAGACUAUAGGUGCGGUAUACAAGGCCAAAAUUUCGAGUUUUAGACCCUCUUCUAGGCCCUUUUCUAAAACAUAAGCCCCAGUUUAAGUGUCGUCAAAUGUGGUGUCCUAAUUUAUAUAUCUUGCAACGAAUGCUCGUCGCAGCUGGGUGGGAAAAGCCAUAUAAAAAGUGUUACACACGCCAAGAGAUUCCAUUGCGGACUCAAAACAAAAGGAUAUAUGCUAUUGCGAUACAUAUACUAAUGGGUGCGAUCAUAACAGCACUAAUGCACCGGAUCCCAUCAGAACUCCGCAGUAAAGCGUGCUUGGGCGAGAGUUGUACUAGGAUGGGUGACCUCCUUGGUAGUCCUCGUCUUGCACCCCUUUUUUGUUCCUUUUAAUUCUUUGUUUUUUUUUUGGGUCUUUUCAUUUGAAAAACAAGGCAUCUUCCGAACGACACCAUUUCUAGACCGUGUGGAACCAUGCCUCCUACAGAAACUUUUCGGAAAGCCCCAAGUCUGCUCUAUGGCGUGUCCAAGGCUCUAAAGACUAUAGGUGCGGUAUACAAGGCCAAAAUUUCGAGUUUUAGACCCUCUUCUGGGCCCUUUUCUAAAACAUAAGCCCCAAUUUAGGUGUCGUCAAAUGUGGUGUCCUAACUUAUAUAUCUUGGCAUGAAUGCUGGUCGCGGCUGGGCAGGAAAAGACAUAUAAACAGUGCAACACACCCGAAGAGAUUUCAUUGCGGACUCAAAGCCAAAGGAUAUAUGCUAUUGCGAUACAUAUACUAACAGGUGUGAUCAUACCAGCACUAAUGCACCGGAUCCCAUUAGAACUCCGCAGUUAAGCGUGCUUGGGCGAGAGUAGUACUAGGAUGGGUGAUCUCCUGGGCAGUCCUCGUGUUGCACCAUUUUUUUGCUCCUCUUGAUUUUUUAUUUUUUUUGGGUCUUUUCAUUUGAAAAACAAGGCAUCUUCCGAACGACGCCAUUUCUAGACCGUGUGGAACCAUGCCUCCUACAGCAACUUUUCAGAAAGCCCCAAGAGUGCUCUCGGGCGUGCCCAAGGGACUAAAGAGCAUGGGUGCUGUUACAAGGCCAAAAUUUUGAGUUUUAGACCCUCUUCCGGGCCAUUUUCUAAAACAUAAGCCCCGGUUUAAGUGUCGUCAAACGUUGUGUCCUAACUUAUAUAUCUUGCAACGAAUGCUCGUCGCAGGUGGGCGGGAAAACCAUUUAAAGAGUGCAACACACGUGAAGAGAUUUCAUUGCGGUCUCAAAGCCAAAGGAUAUAUGCUAUUGCGAUACAUAUACUAACGGGUGCGAUCAUAACAGCACUAAUGCACCGGAUCCCAUCAGAACUCCGCAGUAAAGCGUGCUUGGGCGAGAGUUGUACUAGGAUGGGUGACCUCCUUGGUAGUCCUCGUCUUGCACCCCUUUUUUCUUCCUUUUGAUUCUUUUUUUUUUUGGGUCUUUUCAUUUGAAACACAAGGCAUCUUCCAAACGACGCUAUUUCUAGACCGUGUGGAACCAUGCCUCCUACAGAAACUUUUCGGAAAUCCCCAAGUGUGCUCUCUGGCUUGUCCAAGGGUCUAAAGACUAUAGGUGCGGUAUACAAGGCCAAAAUUUCGAGUUUUAGACCCUCUUCUAGGCCCUUUUCUAAAACAUAAGCCCCAGUUUAAGUGUCGUCAAAUGUGGUGUCCUAAUUUAUAUAUCUUGCAACGAAUGCUCGUCGCAGCUGGGUGGGAAAAGCCAUAUAAAAAGUGUUACACACGCCAAGAGAUUCCAUUGCGGACUCAAAACAAAAGGAUAUAUGCUAUUGCGAUACAUAUACUAAUGGGUGCGAUCAUAACAGCACUAAUGCACCGGAUCCCAUCAGAACUCCGCAGUAAAGCGUGCUUGGGCGAGAGUUGUACUAGGAUGGGUGACCUCCUUGGUAGUCCUCGUCUUGCACCCCUUUUUUGUUCCUUUUAAUUCUUUGUUUUUUUUUGGGUCUUUUCAUUUGAAAAACAAGGCAUCUUCCGAACGACACCAUUUCUAGACCGUGUGGAACCAUGCCUCCUACGGAAACUUUUCGGAAAGCCCCAAGUCUGCUCUAUGGCGUGUCCAAGGCUCUAAAGACUAUAGGUGCGGUAUACAAGGCCAAAAUUUUGAGUUUUAGACCCUCUUCUGGGCCCUUUUCUAAAACAUAAGCCCCAAUUUAGGUGUCGUCAAAUGUGGUGUCCUAACUUAUAUAUCUUGGCAUGAAUGCUGGUCGCGGCUGGGCAGGAAAAGACAUAUAAACAGUGCAACACACCCGAAGAGAUUUCAUUGCGGACUCAAAGCCAAAGGAUAUAUGCUAUUGCGAUACAUAUACUAACAGGUGCGAUCAUACCAGCACUAAUGCACCGGAUCCCAUCAGAACUCCGCAGUUAAGCGUGCUUGGGCGAGAGUAGUACUAGGAUGGGUGACCUCCUGGGCAGUCCUCGUGUUGCACCAUUUUUUUGCUCCUCUUGAUUUUUUAUUUUUUUUGGGUCUUUUCAUUUGAAAAACAAGGCAUCUUCCGAACGACGCCAUUUCUAGACCGUGUGGAACCAUGCCUCCUACAGCAACUUUUCAGAAAGCCCCAAGAGUGCUCUCGGGCGUGCCCAAGGGACUAAAGAGCAUGGGUGCUGUUACAAGGCCAAAAUUUUGAGUUUUAGACCCUCUUCCGGGCCAUUUUCUAAAACAUAAGCCCCGGUUUAAGUGUCGUCAAACGUUGUGUCCUAACUUAUAUAUCUUGCAACGAAUGCUCGUCGCAGGUGGGCGGGAAAACCAUUUAAAGAGUGCAACACACGUGAAGAGAUUUCAUUGCGGUCUCAAAGCCAAAGGAUAUAUGCUAUUGCGAUACAUAUACUAACGGGUGCGAUCAUAACAGCACUAAUGCACCGGAUCCCAUCAGAACUCCGCAGUAAAGCGUGCUUGGGCGAGAGUUGUACUAGGAUGGGUGACCUCCUUGGUAGUCCUCGUCUUGCACCCCUUUUUUCUUCCUUUUGAUUCUUUUUUUUUUUGGGUCUUUUCAUUUGAAACACAAGGCAUCUUCCAAACGACGCCAUUUCUAGACCGUGUGGAACCAUGCCUCCUACAGAAACUUUUCGGAAAGCCCCAAGUGUGCUCUCUGGCUUGUCCAAGGGUCUAAAGACCAUGGGUGCGGUUUACACACGUGAAGAGAUUUCAUUGCGGUCUCAAAGCCAAAGGAUAUAUGCUAUUGCGAUACAUAUACUAACGGGUGCGAUCAUACCAGCAUUAAUGCAUCGGUUCCCAUCAGAACUCCGCAGUAAAGCGUGCUUGGGCGAGAGUAGUACUAGGAUGGGUGACCUCCUGGGCAGUCCUCGUGUUGCACCCUUUUUUUGUUCCUCUUGAUUCUUUUUUUUUUUUUUUGGGUCUUUUCAUUUGAAAAACAAGGCAUCUUCCGAACGACGCCAUUUCUAGACCGUGUGGAACCAUGCCUCCUACAGCAACAUUUCAGAAAGCCCCAAGAGUGCUCUCGGGCGUGCCCAAGGGUCUAAAGACCAUGGGUGCUGUUACAAGGCCAAAAUUUUGAGUUUUAGACCCUCUUCCGGGCCAUUUUCUAAAACAUAAGCCCCGUUUUAAGUGUCGUCAAACGUUGUGUCCUAACUUAUAUAUCUUGCAACGAAUGCUCGUCGCAGCUGGGCGGGAAAAGCCAUAUAAAGAGUGCAACACACGUGAAGAGAUUUCAUUGCCGUCUCAAAGCCAAAGGAUAAAUGCUAUUGCGAUACAUAUACUAACGGGUGCGAUCAUACCAGCACUAAUGCACCGGAUCCCAUCAGAACUCCGCAGUAAAGCGUGCUUGGGCGAGAGUUGUACUAGGAUGGGUGACCUCCUUGGAAGUCCUCGUCUUGCACCCCUUUUUGUUCCUUUCGAUUGUUUUUUUUUUUUGGGUCUUUUCAUUUGAAAAACAAGGCAUCUUCCAAACGACGCCAUUUCUAGACCGUGUGGAACCAUGCCUCCUACAGAAACUUUUCGGAAAGCCCCAAGUGUGCUCUCUGGCAUGUCCAAGGGUUUAAAGACUAUAGGUGCGGUAUACAAGGCCAAAAUUUCGAGUUUUAGACCCUCUUCUAGGCCCUUUUCUAAAACAUAAGCCCCAGUUUAAGUGUCGUCAAAUGUGGUGUCCUAAUUUAUAUAUCUUGCAACGAAUGCUCGUCGCAGCUGGGCGGGAAAAGCCAUAUAAAGAGUGCAACACACGUGAAGAGAUUUCAUUGCGGUCUCAAAGCCAAAGGAUAUAUGCUAUUGCGAUACAUAUACUAACGGGUGCGAUCAUACCAACAAUAAUUCACCGGUUCCCAUCAGAACUCCGCAGUAAAGCGUGCUUGGGCGAGAGUUGUACUAGGAUGGGUGACCUCCUUGGUAGUCCUCGUCUUGCACCCCUUUUUUGUUCCUUUUGAUUCUUUUUUUUUUUGGGUCUUUUCAUUUGAAACACAAGGCAUCUUCCAAACGACGCCAUUUCUAGACCGUGUGGAACCAUGCCUCCUACAGAAACUUUUCGGAAAGCCCCAAGUGUGCUCUCUGGCUUGUCCAAGGGUCUAAAGACCAUGGGUGCGGUUUACACACGUGAAGAGAUUUCAUUGCGGUCUCAAAGCCAAAGGAUAUAUGCUAUUGCGAUACAUAUAUUAACGGGUGCGAUCAUACCAGCAUUAAUGCAUCGGUUCCCAUCAGAACUCCGUAGUAAAGCGUGCUUGGGCGAGAGUAGUACUAGGAUGGGUGACCUCCUGGGCAGUCCUCGUGUUGCACCAUUUUUUUGUUCCUCUUGAUUCUUUUUUUUUUUUGGGUCUUUUCAUUUGAAAAACAAGGCAUCUUCCGAACGACGCCAUUUCUAGACCGUGUGGAACCAUACCUCCUACAACAACUUUUCAGAAAGCCCCAAGAGUACUCUCGGGCGUGCCCAAGGGUCUAAAGACCAUGGGUGCGGUUUACAAGGCCAAAAUUUUGAGUUUUAGACCCUCUUCCGGGCCCUUUUCCAAACAAAAGCCCCGGUUAAAGUGUCGUCAAACGUUGUGUCCUAAUUUAUAUAUCUUGCAAUGAAUGCUCGUCGCAGCUGGGUGGGAAAAGCCAUAUAAAAAGUGUUACACACGCCAAGAGAUUUCAUUGCGGACUCAAAACCAAAGGAUAUAUGCUAUUGCGAUACAUAUACUAACGGGUGUGAUCAUAACAGCACUAAUGCACCGGAUAUCAUCAGAACUCCGCAGUAAAGCGUGCUUGGGCGAGAGUUGGACUAGGAUGGGUGACCUCCUUGGUAGUCCUUGUCUUGCACCCCUUUUUUGUUCCUUUUGAUUCCUUUUUUUUUUUUGGGUCUUUUCAUUUGAAACACAAGGCAUCUUCCGAACGACGCCAUUUCUAGACCGUGUGGAACCAUGCCUCCUACAGCAACUUUUCGGAAAGCCCCAAGUGUGCUCUCUGGCUUGUCCAAGGGUCUAAAGACCAUGGGUGCGGUUUACAAGGCCAAAAUUUUAAGUUUUGGACCCUCUUCCGGGCCCUUUUCUAAAACAUAAGCCCCGGUUUAAGUGUCGUUAAACGUGGUGUCCUAACUUAUAUAUCUUG
RNAcentral lists this long non-coding RNA (6860 nucleotides) under Eutrema salsugineum. Lineage: Eukaryota; Viridiplantae; Streptophyta; Magnoliopsida; Brassicales; Brassicaceae. The record is from RNAcentral.